RNAcentral lists this small RNA (90 nucleotides) under Sinorhizobium meliloti 2011. RNAcentral's name for it is "putative ncRNA". The record is from RNAcentral. Lineage: Bacteria; Pseudomonadati; Pseudomonadota; Alphaproteobacteria; Hyphomicrobiales; Rhizobiaceae.
GCCGAGCCGUCUGAGGCUCUGUUCCACCUCGUGGAAGAUCGACUCCCGGCCGAGAUGGCGGUGGACCGGCCUGCCGUCCUGGUCGAAGAA